Molecule: non-coding RNA, 203 nt
Organism: Oryza glumipatula
Lineage: Eukaryota; Viridiplantae; Streptophyta; Magnoliopsida; Poales; Poaceae
Source: Rfam
AUAGAAUAUAGUUUUGUAUUGUUUAUUCAACGUUUGACCAUCCAUCUUAUUUAAAAAAAUUUUAUGAUUAAUUUUUAUUAUUAUUAGAUGAUAAUAUAUGAAUAAUGCUUUAUCUGUGACUUUUUUUUUUAAUUUUUUCAUAAAAUUUUCAAAUAAGACGAACGGUUAAACGUUGGACACGAAAACUCACAACUGCACUUCAA